GAGACCUCAGGUCAGGCGGGGCUACCCGCUGAAUUUAAGCAUAUCAAUAAGCGGAGGAAAAGAAACUAACAAGG
Molecule: ribosomal RNA, 74 nt
Filed under: Medicago lanigera
Lineage: Eukaryota; Viridiplantae; Streptophyta; Magnoliopsida; Fabales; Fabaceae
Also listed under: 1 other name
Description: partial large subunit ribosomal RNA
Rfam family: Eukaryotic large subunit ribosomal RNA
Source: RNAcentral